UAGGGAAUCUUCCACAAUGGACGCAAGUCUGAUGGAGCAACGCCGCGUGAGUGAAGAAGGUCUUCGGAUCGUAAAACUCUGUUGUUGGUGAAGAAGGAUAGAGGCAGUAACUGGUCUUUAUUUGACGGUAAUCAACCAGAAAGUCACGGCUAACUACGUGCCAGCAGCCGCGGUAAUACGUAGGUGGCAAGCGUUGUCCGGAUUUAUUGGGCGUAAAGCGAGCGCAGGCGGAAUGAUAAGUCUGAUGUGAAGCACCAGGCUCAACCGUGGAACUGCAUCGGAAACUGUCAUUCUUGAGUGCAGAAGAGGAGAGUGGAACUCCAUGUGUAGCGGUGGAAUGCGUAGAUAUAUGGAAGAACACCAGUGGCGAAGGCGGCUCUCUGGUCUGCAACUGACGCUGAGGCUCGAAAGCAUGGGUAGCGAACAGGAUUAGAUACCCUGGUAGUCCAUGCCGUAAACGAUGACGCGCUAGGUGUUGG
RNAcentral lists this ribosomal RNA (479 nucleotides) under uncultured bacterium. Its description in RNAcentral is "partial 16S ribosomal RNA". It matches the Rfam family "Bacterial small subunit ribosomal RNA", at positions 355 to 826 of the family's 1533-position model. The record is from RNAcentral.